This 272-nucleotide ribosomal RNA is filed under the name uncultured soil bacterium. Its description in RNAcentral is "partial 16S ribosomal RNA". It matches the Rfam family "Bacterial small subunit ribosomal RNA", at positions 26 to 306 of the family's 1533-position model. The record is from RNAcentral.
AGAUUGAACGCUGGCGGCAUGCCUAACACAUGCAAGUCGAACGGGAGUAGCAAUACUCUAGUGGCGGACGGGUGAGGAAUACGUAGGAAUUUGCCCUUAAGUGGGGGAUAACCCGGGGAAACCCGGAUUAAUACCGCAUGACCUCGAAAGAGACAAAGGUGGGGGAUCGCAAGACCUCACGUCUUUUGGAGAAGCCUACGUCGGAUUAGCUAGUUGGUGAGGUAAUGGCUCACCAAGGCGACGAUCCGUAACUGGUCUGAAGAGGAUGAUCA